This 395-nucleotide ribosomal RNA is filed under the name uncultured bacterium. RNAcentral describes it as "bacterial SSU rRNA". It matches the Rfam family "Bacterial small subunit ribosomal RNA", at positions 505 to 898 of the family's 1533-position model. The record is from RNAcentral.
GUGUCAGCCGCCGCGGUAAUACGGAGGGUGCAAGCGUUGCUCGGAAUUACUGGGCGUAAAGGGCGUGUAGGCGGUUUCGUAUGUCUGGCGUGAAAGCCCCGGGCUCACCUCGGGAAGUGCGUCGGAAACUGCGAGACUAGAGUCCCGGAGAGGGAGGUGGAAUUCCAGGUGUAGCGGUGAAAUGCGUAGAUAUCUGGAAGAACACCGGUGGCGAAAGCGGCCUCCUGGACGGUGACUGACGCUGAGACGCGAAAGCGUGGGGAGCAAACAGGAUUAGAUACCCUGGUAGUCCACGCCAUAAACGAUGAGCACUAGGUGUCGCGGGUAUUGACCCCUGCGGUGCCGCCGCUAACGCAUUAAGUGCUCCGCCUGGGGACUACGGCCGCAAGGUUAAA